AGAGUUUGAUCCUGGCUCAGGAUGAACGCUGGCGGCGUGCCUAACACAUGCAAGUUGAGCGAUUUACUUCGGUAAAGAGCGGCGGACGGGUGAGUAACGCGUGGGUAACCUACCCUGUACACACGGAUAACAUACCGAAAGGUAUGCUAAUACGGGAUAAUAUAUUUGAGAGGCAUCUCUUGAAUAUCAAAGGUGAGCCAGUACAGGAUGGACCCGCGUCUGAUUAGCUAGUUGGUAAGGUAACGGCUUACCAAGGCGACGAUCAGUAGCCGACCUGAGAGGGUGAUCGGCCACAUUG
Molecule: ribosomal RNA, 298 nt
Filed under: Clostridioides difficile DA00305
Lineage: Bacteria; Bacillati; Bacillota; Clostridia; Peptostreptococcales; Peptostreptococcaceae
Description: partial 16S ribosomal RNA
Rfam family: Bacterial small subunit ribosomal RNA
Source: RNAcentral